This 348-nucleotide ribosomal RNA is filed under the name Triticum aestivum (bread wheat). RNAcentral's name for it is "partial small subunit ribosomal RNA". The record is from RNAcentral. Lineage: Eukaryota; Viridiplantae; Streptophyta; Magnoliopsida; Poales; Poaceae.
AUGGAGGAGGACGCCGCCAUGGAGAAGGCAAAGGAGGAGGAGGAGGAGGAGGCGAAGGAGGCAGAGUUGACGCCUGUGGGCUUCGGCAUGCCUGAGGCGCUGUCGGAGUACGAGGUGGCGCAAGCGGAGGAGGCGACAGAGCAGCAAGCCAUCAUCGAAUCCAUCCAAUCGGAGGCGGAGGUGGAGGUCACUCGACGCUACCUCCGCCAGGAGGACGUGGAGAUCUACGAGAUCUUCGCUGACACGCAGUCCGACGAGGAGCUGGUGGUGCGCCCGGCCGUCAAUAACCACGAAGCCGGCGGCUCUGGCAUGAACUUCAUCAACAUCUCCGACGACGAGGACGUGUAG